RNAcentral lists this ribosomal RNA (277 nucleotides) under uncultured bacterium. RNAcentral's name for it is "partial 16S ribosomal RNA". It matches the Rfam family "Bacterial small subunit ribosomal RNA", at positions 28 to 298 of the family's 1533-position model. The record is from RNAcentral.
GACGAACGCUGGCGGCGUGCAUCACACAUGCAAGUGGAGCGACGAACCGGGCUUCGGCCCGGGGCAGAGCCGCGAACGGGUGAGUAACACGUGGGUAACCUGCCCUGAUGAUUGGGACAACCCGAGGAAACUCGGGCUAAUACCGAAUGUGCCCUCCGGCCACAAGGCCGCUGGGGAAAGGAAGCUUCGGCCUCCGCAUCAGGAUGGGCCCGCGGCCCAUUAGCUUGUUGGUGAGGUAACGGCUUACCAAGGCUACGAUGGGUAGCUGGUCUGAGAG